AGAGUUUGAUCCUGGCUCAGAACGUACGCUGGCGGCACGCCUAACACAUGCAAGUCGAACGCAGUAGCAAUACUGAGUGGCAGACGGGUGAGUAACAUGUGGGAAUCUGCCUUGUGGUUCAGGMCACACAUUGGGAAACCGAAUKCUAAUACUGGAUAAGCCCUUACGGGGAAAGUUUUAAUGCCAUAAGAUKAGCCCGCAUUKGAUUAGUUAGUKGGUGAGGUGGAUGGCUCACCAAGACAAUGAUCAAUAGCUGAUUCUGAGAGGAUGAUCAGSCACACUGGGACUGAGACACGKCCCAGACUCCUACGGGAGGCAGCAGUGGGGAAUCUUGCACAAUGGAGGAAACUCUGAUGCAGCGAUGCCGCGUGAGUGAAGAAGGCCUUUGGGUUGUAAAGCUCUUUUGUAGGGGAAGAUAAUGACUGUACCCUAAGAAUAAGGUCCGGCUAACUUCGUGCCAGCAGCCGCGGUAAUACGAAGGGACCUAGCGUAGUUCGGAAUUACUGGGCGUAAAGCGCGCGUAGGCCGUUGAGUUAGUUAAUUGUGAAAUCCCAAAGCUUAACUUUGGAACUGCAAUUAAAACUGCUCGACUAGAGUUUGAUAGAGGAAAGCGGAAUACAUAGUGUAGAGGUGAAAUUCGUAGAUAUUAUGUAGAACACCAGUUGCGAAGGCGGCUUUCUGGAUCAACACUGACGCUGAGGCGCGAAAGUAUGGGUAGCAAAGAGGAUUAGAUACCCUCGUAGUCCAUACCAUAAACGAUGAUUGCUAGAUGUUGGAAAUUUAUUUUCAGUAUCGCAGCUAACGCAUUAAGCAAUCCGCCUGGGGAGUACGACCGCAAGGUUAAAACUCAAAUGAAUUGACGGGGACCCGCACAAGCGGUGGAGCAUGUGGUUUAAUUCGAAGAUACGCGCAGAACCUUACCAACCCUUGACAUGUCUGUCGCGAGUUUAGGAAACUAGACUUUUCGGUUCGGCCGGACAGAAACACAGGUGCUGCAUGGCUGUCGUCAGCUCGUGUCGUGAGAUGUUGGGUUAAGUCCCGCAACGAGCGCAACCCCUACUUUUAGUUGCCAUCAGGUCAUGCUGGGCACCUCUUGAAAGAACCUGCCAGUGAUAAGGCUGGAGGAAGGUGGGRAUGAACGUCAAGUCUCUCAUGGCCCUUACSGGUUGGGCUACACCACGUGUCUACAAUKGUAKUGACAWUGAGAAUGCAAGGUGGCSAGCGCCCCUAAGCUUAAACCUCARARAUCUACCUCAGUUCGGAUUGCACUCUGCAACUCGAGUGCAUGAAGCUGGAAUCGCUAGUAAUCGUAGAUCAGCGUGCUACGGUGAAUACGUUCCCGGGUCUUGUACACACCGCCCGUC
This 1364-nucleotide ribosomal RNA is filed under the name uncultured bacterium. RNAcentral's name for it is "bacterial SSU rRNA". It matches the Rfam family "Bacterial small subunit ribosomal RNA". The record is from RNAcentral.